Molecule: ribosomal RNA, 297 nt
Filed under: Triticum aestivum (bread wheat)
Lineage: Eukaryota; Viridiplantae; Streptophyta; Magnoliopsida; Poales; Poaceae
Description: partial small subunit ribosomal RNA
Source: RNAcentral
AUGAAGUCGUCGGAGGCGAAGCACGCCACGUCCGAGCGCGAGAACGCGCGGCUCCUCGAGUCGCAGCGGUCCGGGCAGCACGAGGUGGCCAAGCUGCGGGACAUCCUGAAGCAGGUCGUCAAGGACACCAAGUUCGUCAAGGAGGUGCUGGAGGAGGAGAGGAGCAAGAACGCCAUGCUCAAGGAGAUGGUCGGGAGCAAGGACACCGCCGUCAAGUGCAUUAAGGAGGAGCUGGAGUGCCUCAGGGUGAGCGAAGUCGCGGCGCGCGACAGCGUCAAGGACUGCAGAGCCUGCUAG